GAAAUGCGAUAAGUAAUGUGAAUUGCAGAAUUCAGUGAAUCAUCGAAUCUUUGAACGCACCUUGCGCUCCUUGGUAUUCCUUGGAGCAUGCCUGUUUGAGUAUCAUGAAAUCUUCAAAGUAAAUCUUUUGUUAACUCAAUUGGUUUCUACUUUGGUAUUGGAGGUCUUUGCAGCUUCACACCUGCUCCUCUUUGUUCAUUAGCUGGAUCUCAGUGUUAUGCUUGGUUCCACUCGGCGUGAUAAGUUAUCUAUCGCUGAGGACACUGUAAAAGGUGGCCAAGAUAAAUGCAGAUGAACCGCUUCUAAUAGUCCAUUGACUUGGACAAUACUUUUAUGAUCUGAUCUCAAAUCAGGUAGGACUACCCGCUGAGCUUAAGC
RNAcentral lists this unclassified non-coding RNA (378 nucleotides) under plant metagenome. RNAcentral describes it as "partial contains 5.8S ribosomal RNA, internal transcribed spacer 2, and large subunit ribosomal RNA". The stretch from base 1 to 105 matches the Rfam family "5.8S ribosomal RNA", at positions 50 to 154 of the family's 154-position model. The record is from RNAcentral.